AAUAGUUUUUAUUUAAGCCCGGGUUAGAUUUCAAGCUCCUGUCUGCCAAAGGUGGGUAACUGGCACAUUAAUUUCAUUUAUUUCUGCAGCCACUGGCCCUUAGGGACGUGGUUUAGGGACUGGAUGACCUUGAAGUUCUCUUCCAACCUUGAUAAUUCUGUGAACUGUAGACACAUUAACUGUGUUAUUUAUCUCACAACAUCUGUCAUCAGGUUUGACACCUGUGACAUGUAAGCCCUGAUCUCAUCUGGCAGGGUUUGUUUGCAUUGCUCAUUUAUGUUGCAAUAAUGAGCCAGAAUCUUUUCUAUUUCAGUUUCAAUACCAGCAAUUAUUUAAAGAUCAUUAAAUCAUGACAGUAAUGGACUGAUCAUGGAUACUUUACACUAUUUUGGAGUUUCUUUUAUUCAGUUCCAAGCAAAGAAAACAACCGUUCUUGUCACUUGUGAAUAGUGCUGAUUAAUGAUUAUUAUAUUGAAUAACUCACCUUCACAGGUGUUUCUGGUUUAUCUCUGCUUAUCAUUCCCCACACCCUGUUAUUCCCAUAGUGCUGCUGGAGCAGUGCUUCCAAACGUUUGGGUUUGCAGUCUCAGGGAGAGUUCAUGCCCUGGCUGCUGGGCAGUGCCAGGUCAGCCGUGCCCAGUAAAUGGUGGUGUCAUAAACACUUACUGGAAGUCACUGGUGCUGGUAACUGGUUUGUGUUGCACAAGCUCAGAGGGCACGGGAGGCGCCGGGUGUGAAUUAAUGAUGAGGAGGCCUGGUUUGAAGGGAGCAGCUGAGGCAGAGCUGCGUUUGAAGCCGGGCUGGCUGAGGAGUGGCGGGGGAGCUGAGCUGUGUGUGUGUGUGUUUGCAUUGCUCCCGCAGUGGCUGGAAGGGUGCCAAGGCCCAGGAACGCCAGGAUCACCUCCCUCAACCUGCAGAGCACUUUGCAGUGGGAGGCACCGAGGUUCCCCCGGGGCAACAUCACCUACACUGUCCGCUACAGGAGCGUCGUCCUCCCGGGAGACACGUUCGAGCUGCUGCGGAGCGGGCUGAGGGCCACACACUGCGACGUGUCCUGGCUCUGGGAGUACGGCAACUACACCCUGCAGCUGCGGGCCCAGGCGGGGCAGGGCCACUCGCCAUGGGUCACCCUCAGCUUCAGCCCCAUGCACGACAGUAAGGCCCACCGCC
Molecule: long non-coding RNA, 1170 nt
Filed under: Manacus vitellinus (golden-collared manakin)
Lineage: Eukaryota; Metazoa; Chordata; Aves; Passeriformes; Pipridae
Description: lncRNA (ENSMVIG00005006943.1)
Source: RNAcentral